RNAcentral lists this long non-coding RNA (1984 nucleotides) under Camarhynchus parvulus. Its description in RNAcentral is "lncRNA (ENSCPVG00000017591.1)". The record is from RNAcentral. Lineage: Eukaryota; Metazoa; Chordata; Aves; Passeriformes; Thraupidae.
GACGUAAUGAAUUACCAUGAGAGGGCGUGGCUUCACAAUGCCGUGAUGACACGCCCAAAGUGGGCGUGGUCUCAGAGCGGAAAGAGGGCGUACCUCAAACCCCAAAGUGGGCGUGGCUCCCACCUGCCAAACCCCCGCCCCUUCCAGGUGUGGGCGUGGCCUGGCGCCAGGUACGGGGUGGGCGUGGCGGGUCGCGGUCACGUGACGCGGGGCGGGGCCUCGGGAGCGGCCCCGGAAGCGGGGAAGGGACGGGACAGGUUCAUAUUUGGGGUCCCCCCAUGGCCGCUGCCCCCGCCCUGGCCCUGGCCCUGCCCUGCCUCGCCCUGGCCCAGACCUCUCCCAGUAUAACCAGUAACGGCUCCAGUAACGGCACCGCCCCCCAGCCCGGGGGGGGGGCUCUCGCCCGCGGGGGUGGUCGCUCUCUCGGUGAUUUUCGGGGGUCUGGGGGCGCUGGCGCUGCUGGGGCUGCUGCUGCUGGCGGCGCUGCGCCUGCGCGAGAAGCGCCGCACCGAGGGCUCCUACCGGCCCAGCCGCGAGGAGAUGGGGGGGGGCGCCAGGGCAGCCCCCCCGGGCCCCGCCCCGCUGCGCCUGCCCCCCGAGGAGCGCCUCAUCUGAGACCCCGCCCCGAAUUCUGACCCCGCCCCGAAUUCGGGGCUGCUUUGGACCAUGGGAGUCGUUUUGGGGGGUUUUGGGGAGGGUCCCAAAGGGGUGAGACCCCCCCUGUGUGACCCCCCCUGUGUGAUCCCCCCUGUGUGACCCUCCCCGGCCCCAUUUGAGACCCCCCCCCGAAUUUGGGGUUCGUUUGGGCCAUGGGGUAUUUUGGGGGAUUUCGGGAGGGUCCCAAGGGGUGAGACCCCCGUGGCCCCCCCCAGAAGCGCCUCAUCUGAGACCCCGCCCCGAAUUUGGGACCCCUCCCCGAAUUCGGGGUUCGUUUGGACCAUGGGAGUCGUUUUGGGGGGUUUUGGGGAGGGUCCCAAAGGGGUGAGACCCCCGUUGUGUGACCCCCCCUGUGUGAUCCCCCCAUCCCCCGAGGAGCGCCUCAUUUGAGACCCCUCCCCGAAUUUGGGGUUCGUUUGGGCCAUGGGAGUCGUUUUGGGGGGGUUUGGGGAGGGUCCCAAAGGGGUGAGACCCCCCUGUGUGACCCCCCCAUCCCCCCAGAAGCGCCUCAUCUGAGACCCCGCCCCGAAUUUGGGACCCUCCCCGAAUUCGGGGUUCCUUUGGGCCAUGGGAGUCAUUUUGGGGGGUUUUGGGGGGUCCCAAAGGGGUGAGACCCCCCCGUGUGACCCCCGUGUGACCCCUCCCCACGAGGAGCGCCUCAUCUGAGACCCCGCCCCGAAUUUGGGACCCCUCCCCGAAUUUGGGACCCCUCCCCGAAUUUGGGGUUCGUUUGGGCCAUGGGAGUCGUUUUGGGGGGGUUUUGGGGGUCCCAAAGGGGUGAGACCCCCCCCGGAUUGCUCUUUGGGGACCCCCCAUGAGGAGGGGAUGGUGUGGGACCCCUCCCCAAAUUCUGGAGUGGUUGUGACCCCCCCCACCCCAAAAUUUGGGGGUCAUUUGGAGCCCCCUCCCCAAAAUUUUGGGGUCACUUGGGGCCCCCAUUUGGACCAUGGGAAUAAUUUUGGGGGGGUCCAGGGGGGGUUUUAGGGAGUCCAGAAGGGUUGAGACCCCCCCCAGAUUUGAGGAGAAGCUCGUCUGGGACCCCUCCCCAAAUUUUGGAGUGGUUGUGACCCCCCCUCAAAAUUUUGGGGCUCAUUUGGGGCCCCCUCCCCAAAAUUUUGGGUCUCGUUUGGACCAUGGGAGUCAUUUUGGGGGGGGGUCCUGGGGGGUUUUGGAGGGGUCCAGGAGGUUUUAGCCCCCCCCCCAAUUUGAGGAGGGGCUCGUCAGGGACCCCUCCCCAAAUUUUGGAGCAGCUGUGACCCCCCACCCCAAAAUUUGGGGUCAUUUGGGACCACCCCCCAAAAAAAUCUGAGCUGGUUUGAGACCCCCC